This 253-nucleotide ribosomal RNA is filed under the name uncultured bacterium. RNAcentral's name for it is "partial 16S ribosomal RNA". It matches the Rfam family "Bacterial small subunit ribosomal RNA", at positions 524 to 776 of the family's 1533-position model. The record is from RNAcentral.
UACAGAGGGUGCGAGCGUUAAUCGGAAUUACUGGGCGUAAAGCGUGCGUAGACGGUUAUUUAAGUCGGGUGUGAAAGCCCCGGGCUCAACCUGGGAAUUGCAUUCGAGACUGAAUAGCUAGGGUACGGUAGAGGGAAGCGGAAUUUCCGGUGUAGCGGUGAAAUGCGUAGAUAUCAGGAGGAACACCGGUGGCGAAGGCGGCUUUCUGGACACUUACUGACACUGGGACGCGAAAGCGUGGGGAGCAAACAGG